UCAAAACAAUGCCUUACUCCCUUUAUCUAUUUGCAGACAUAACCUUACUCCUUUAAAAAAAAAAAACCUUAAUUCUGUUGCUCUGCCGAUAAAUUGCACAGCGGAAGAAGAGAGUGAGACGGGGCUAAUACUUUGUCAAUGGUAGCCGCUAAUCCUUUACCUUGACGCGCUCUCUGUCCAAUUACAGCGCCUACCGCAGCCCGCAGCAUUGUUCUGAUAUUAUACAGUCACUUAUUCCGACCAAUUUGAGUUUACUUACAGACUUGGGCAUGCACGGCAUCCAAUUAUCCAAAUGCUCUCAACACAAGCUGCCUGGUGUGGAUCUUGUCAUUUCUUAUUACAAAUAAUCAGGUCAAGGCUAUCUCAGUUUCCUGCUAUAUAUGAAUUAUGAAUCUGCUCAUUUAGAAGAAGCAAAGAGAGUAUGCUUGCAUAGAGUCGCACAGUAUAAUCACCUGGAUUUUGUCAUCUAUAUGUGUUCUUCAUUCUUAGUUUAACUACUGUAUAUAAUUAUAACCUGACGUUGCAUGUGUAGCCAGACACACACAUGUUAGUUCUAUUAGCAUAUAAAUCUCGUAUGGUCUUCUGUUCGGAAAUUCUGGAGUUACACUUUUUUAUGGUGGUACUUAACUUUGUAUGGGUGGAAGCAUAGAUAUUAAAGGGGCGCCUCAGGAUUUAUUAAAGUUAUCGGGGCUUUACAAGGCAUGCUCUGCAGAUUAUAUUAAUUUAAAAAUAUAGUUAUCAGGUUUUGUAUGUUCUCUUGUGAUGCUUAACAUGGUUUUCAGGCUGUUGGUAAAGCUCUAUUUCGGGCACAUGUAGAUAGCCAGCUUAAUGUAACUUCAUCCUUCGGAGUCUUACUUUGUUGAUGGUUUUGGGAUGCAACAAUGUGCUUUUCUGUCUCUAAAACAGAGUGAGAUUAAUGUCAAAGCCUGAACUGUUUGUGGUGCCAGAUCCAGAACUGCCUUUAGCACUUUUAGAUCAAAAGGAGUUAGAGCUCUGCAUUUGCAAUGUUGUCUAAUAUUCAAUUUUGUUUGUCAUCUGGCUGUGAUUUUUUUUUUUUUUUUGUGGCAGGCUGGUAAAAAGCUUCUCCUCGUUACAAACUCUGAUUAUCAUUACACAAACAAAAUUAUGAAGCAUUCAUUUAACGAAAAUGGUUAGCGGAAAUCAUUUGUCUGUUUGACUGCAUCCCAGUCUGCUGAAUGUUCUGUUUGUGGCUUCAUUAAUUGAUCACAUGAAAGAGAAUAAGCUUACUCAAAGCUUUCAUCCUGAAAACAUAUUCAAAUUCACGUUGUCAUUUUUCUCCAUUUAGUCGUAGCCUCAUGUUGGUCUGACUUGUGCUAUAAAUUACUUCACAUUUUAAUGGCAUGAAGAACAAUGGAAUUUAAGACAAUACCUCUGUGUUCUGAUAUAUCGUUGUCCUCGACUUAUAUAGGUGAUAGUAUCAGCUAUGAAGUCAGAGUUCUUUCAAAUGUCACACCCACUUUAUGAGGUGGUGAAGGGUGAGGGCUUAAUGCGCCCGUUCCCAAAGCUCGUACAGGUGAUUAAGUUUUGUAUCUAUACUUGUUUUUGUUCCUCUUCUAGUUCAGAGUUCUAUGCUUUUUGUUGGCAUGGUUCAACAGGCUGUUUCAAAGUAAAAAAGAAAGGCCAAGAGUCCAUUACUCAAGUGGGGUCUCAAGGAACUAGGAUCCUGGAGAAGAUAGAAACAAACUUAUCCUUAAUUAAAUUUGCAUGAAAUCAUGCCUUUGAAGGUCUAUUACUUGCAGAUUCUUAAUUGCACUGCUGGGACAUUGACAUUACACUAGUUGGUGCCCAUUACUGGGAAAAUGUUGUAUGUCACUUUGUAUCAUUGCAGGAGGUUUGUACUCGGGUGGGAGUGCUUAUAUGAUUGAGAACUCCUUAAACAUCCAUGGAGAUGAAAUUCUAUAUGUAGCUGAUCAUAUUUAUACUGAUUUAAGUCAAUCAAAAGUCCAUUUACGAUGGCGAACUGCAUUGAUUUGUCGAGAAUUGGAAGAGGAGACGAGGAGAUUGAUUCACGCUUUACAUCUUUUGUAUCUUUGAUGGAGAUCUAUACAAAUGUCAAGUUGCAUGUAUUUGAGUUAGAAAUUUUUAAAGAGUCGCUCAAGAGAAAAUCUAAAAAGUAUACGGGGUUCGUGAGCUGCCCUGGUUGAGCUUAUUAAUCAAAAGGAGAUUGUAGGGGAUCUAUUUAACCAACUCCGGCUUGCUCUGCAAAGGAGAAUUAAAGAGCGCCCUGCUCAAACCCUUGCAACAACUAACAUGAAAGAUCAAGUACUCAUAGAAAGCGUGAAAAAGCUUUGAUUGUCAUGCAAAGACUGGAUAGCAAAAUUGCUCCCAUGCUAGAAGCGGACAGAGAACUUUUCAGUAAGAGGUCCAACCUAGAGAGCGCACUUAACUUGUGGCACUAGCUGCUUAUUUAAGAUAAGAUGGCUAAAUAUUUGAUAUGAUCUCUGGAUGAUUCUACAGUGGCCUAAACAGAGUGGAUGUCUGUGAGAUAAAAGCCAUUUGAUGAGGCAAAUUGAGAAGUAUGCGCUUUUGGUUCUUCCUUGAUUGAAUGUUGAAUAUAGGGAAGUAUUGAUUGGCUGGAUUGUGCUAAUUGCGAUGCUGUGAAAUUGCAGGUAUGCGGAUAGUCAACAUAAUUCUAUAAUUAUUAAACUUAUAUAUUGCAA
Long non-coding RNA from Mercurialis annua (annual mercury), 2681 nucleotides. RefSeq lists it as uncharacterized. The record is from RefSeq and is a predicted model, not a curated record. The transcript has 4 exons. NCBI's taxonomy places the organism in Eukaryota, Viridiplantae, Streptophyta, Magnoliopsida, Malpighiales, Euphorbiaceae.